This 162-nucleotide small nuclear RNA is filed under the name Ophiophagus hannah (king cobra). RNAcentral's name for it is "U2 spliceosomal RNA". It matches the Rfam family "U2 spliceosomal RNA". Rfam says of the family: U2 is a small nuclear RNA (snRNA) component of the spliceosome (involved in pre-mRNA splicing). Complementary binding between U2 snRNA (in an area lying towards the 5' end but 3' to hairpin I) and the branchpoint sequence (BPS) of the intron results the bulging out of an unpaired adenosine, on the BPS, which initiates a nucleophilic attack at the intronic 5' splice site, thus starting the first of two transesterification reactions that mediate splicing. The record is from Rfam by way of RNAcentral. Lineage: Eukaryota; Metazoa; Chordata; Lepidosauria; Squamata; Elapidae.
AUCGCUUCUCGGCCUUUUGGCUAAGAUCAAGUAUAGUAAUUAAUCUGUCCUUGGCUAUUUUAACAAAAAGCCUGUAUGAUUCUCCUAAGGAUAGAUAUGGGUUCAUAUAAUGCUUGGGUUUAACAUUUUCAGAAAUGUGGGGAAAAAAUCGUUAUUAUUUUU